UAAAAGUCGAAAAACGCGUACGUCUGC
Molecule: small RNA, 27 nt
Filed under: Bombyx mori (domestic silkworm)
Lineage: Eukaryota; Metazoa; Arthropoda; Insecta; Lepidoptera; Bombycidae
Description: ovarian small RNA-18057
Source: RNAcentral